AUUGAACGCUGGCGGCAUGCCUUACACAUGCAAGUCGAACGGCAGCACGGGUGCUUGCACCUGGUGGCGAGUGGCGAACGGGUGAGUAAUACAUCGGAACAUGUCCUGUAGUGGGGGAUAGCCCGGCGAAAGCCGGAUUAAUACCGCAUACGAUCCACGGAUGAAAGCGGGGGACCUUCGGGCCUCGCGCUAUAGGGUUGGCCGAUGGCUGAUUAGCUAGUUGGUGGGGUAAAGGCCUACCAAGGCGACGAUCAGUAGCUGGUCUGAGAGGACGACCAGCCACACUGGGACUGAGACACGGCCCAGACUCCUACGGGAGGCAGCAGUGGGGAAUUUUGGACAAUGGGCGAAAGCCUGAUCCAGCAAUGCCGCGUGUGUGAAGAAGGCCUUCGGGUUGUAAAGCACUUUUGUCCGGAAAGAAAUCCUUGGCUCUAAUACAGUCGGGGGAUGACGGUACCGGAAGAAUAAGCACCGGCUAACUACGU
RNAcentral lists this ribosomal RNA (485 nucleotides) under uncultured bacterium. Its description in RNAcentral is "partial 16S ribosomal RNA". It matches the Rfam family "Bacterial small subunit ribosomal RNA", at positions 30 to 506 of the family's 1533-position model. The record is from RNAcentral.